Molecule: ribosomal RNA, 497 nt
Filed under: uncultured bacterium
Lineage: Bacteria
Description: partial 16S ribosomal RNA
Rfam family: Bacterial small subunit ribosomal RNA
Source: RNAcentral
GAUGAACGCUGGCGGCGUGCCUAAUACAUGCAAGUCGAGCGAACAGACGAGGAGCUUGCUCCUCUGACGUUAGCGGCGGACGGGUGAGUAACACGUGGAUAACCUACCUAUAAUACUGGGAUAACUUCGGGAAACCGGAGCUAAUACCGGAUAAUAUAUUGAACCGCAUGGUUCAAUAGUGAAAGACGGUUUUGCUGUCACUUUUAGAUGGAUCCGCGCCGCAUUAGCUAGUUGGUAAGGUAACGGCUUACCAAGGCAACGAUGCGUAGCCGACCUGAGAGGGUGAUCGGCCACACUGGAACUGAGACACGGUCCAGACUCCUACGGGAGGCAGCAGUAGGGAAUCUUCCGCAAUGGGCGAAAGCUUGACGGAGCAACGCCGCGUGAGUGAUGAAGGUCUUCGGAUCGUAAAACUCUGUUAUUAGGGAAGAACAAAUGUGUAAGUAACUAUGCACGUCUUGACGGUACCUAAUCAGAAAGCCACGGCUAACUACGUG